Molecule: ribosomal RNA, 428 nt
Filed under: Vibrio parahaemolyticus
Lineage: Bacteria; Pseudomonadati; Pseudomonadota; Gammaproteobacteria; Vibrionales; Vibrionaceae
Description: partial 23S ribosomal RNA
Source: RNAcentral
GUUGUAUGGUUAAGUGACUAAGCGUACACGGUGGAUGCCUUGGCAGUCAGAGGCGAUGAAGGACGUAGUAACUUGCGAUAAGCCCAGAUUAGGUAGUAACAACCAUUUGAGUCUGGGAUUUCCGAAUGGGGAAACCCACUUACAUAAGUAAGUAUCMUUAMCUGAAUACAUAGGKUAAKGAGGCGAACCGGGGGAACUGAAACAUCUAAGUACCCCGAGGAAAAGAAAUCAACCGAGAUUCCGAAAGUAGCGGCGAGCGAAAUUGGACUAGCCCUUAAGCUUUACACGCGUUAGACGAACGGUCUGGAAAGUCCGACGAUACAGGGUGAUAGUCCCGUAGUUGACGAYGUGUGUUCAGUGAAAUCGAGUAGGGCGGGACACGUGAUAUCCUGUCUGAAUAUGGGGGGACCAUCCUCCAAGGCUAAAUA